Molecule: ribosomal RNA, 153 nt
Filed under: uncultured Ottowia sp.
Lineage: Bacteria; Pseudomonadati; Pseudomonadota; Betaproteobacteria; Burkholderiales; Comamonadaceae
Description: partial 16S ribosomal RNA
Rfam family: Bacterial small subunit ribosomal RNA
Source: RNAcentral
UGGUCGGUACAGGAGGGUUGACCCACCCGCGAGGGGAGCUAAUCCCACAAAGCCGGUCGUAGUCCGGAUCGCAGUCUGCAACUCGACUGCGUGAAGUCGGAAUCGCUAGUAAUCGCGGAUCAGCAUGUCGCGGUGAAUACGUUCCCGGGUCUU